This 484-nucleotide ribosomal RNA is filed under the name uncultured bacterium. Its description in RNAcentral is "partial 16S ribosomal RNA". It matches the Rfam family "Bacterial small subunit ribosomal RNA", at positions 30 to 507 of the family's 1533-position model. The record is from RNAcentral.
AUUGAACGCUGGCGGCAGGCCUAACACAUGCAAGUCGAGCGGAUGAAAGGAGAUUGAUACAGGAUAAAGAGGAGGAAGAAUAAAACACACAAACGAAAAAGAAUGGACGUGGGGGAUAACGUCCGGAAACGGGCGCUAAUACCGCAUACGUCCUGAGGGAGAAAGUGGGGGAUCUUCGGACCUCACGCUAUCAGAUGGGCCUAGGUCGGAUUAGCUAGUUGGUGGGGUAAAGGCCUACCAAGGCGACGAUCCGUAACUGGUCUGAGAGGAUGAUCAGUCACACUGGAACUGAGACACGGUCCAGACUCCUACGGGAGGCAGCAGUGGGGAAUAUUGGACAAUGGGCGAAAGCCUGAUCCAGCCAUGCCGCGUGUGUGAAGAAGGUCUUCGGAUUGUAAAGCACUUUAAGUUGGGAGGAAGGGCAGUAAGUUAAUACCUUGCUGUUUUGACGUUACCAACAGAAUAAGCACCGGCUAACUUCGUG